GGCAGUGUGGUGUAGUGGUUUGAGUGUUGGACUAUAAUUCUAGAGAUGAGAGUUCAAAUCCCUGCUCAGCCA
Non-coding RNA from Phrynosoma platyrhinos (Desert horned lizard), 72 nucleotides. The record is from the annotation of a GenBank genome assembly. NCBI's taxonomy places the organism in Eukaryota, Metazoa, Chordata, Lepidosauria, Squamata, Phrynosomatidae.